AUGCUCUCUUUGUCUUUGAGUGCCAGUGGCCUAGAGGAGAAUGUGCCCAGAUCCUGGAACCUUCCUGUCCUCCAUUGCUCAUCUGGAGAGAUGUCUCACCUUCUACAAGGACAUCAGUACAAGGCUACGCCCCUCCUGCCCACACCCUGCUUUGACACUCUGCCAUUGGUUUCUGCAGCCAUCUCUAAACACACAGACUUAAGAAGCAGGAAACAGCCUCAGCCUGUACCUCACCAUGCCCUCAGCUGGAAACUCCCCAUAGCUCUGGACAGAAGAUCUUCAUCACUUGGUGGACAGCUCUGGUGCAGUUGUGUUCUGCACUGAAGCAAGGAAUCACCUCAGCAGGGCAACCAAACUCCUAUCAGCUGUGAGCUGCCAAAUGACGUUUCCUUCCACACGGCAUUAGUUCAAGCAGACAAGGAUGGAAGAGAAUCCCACCCCAGCUGGGGGACUGGCUCACCUAUUGGCUGCCUCUCAUACAACAAAUCUGGUCAUGGUUACCACUAGGCAGAAAGCUCUUGCUAAAAUGAAUGUAGCUACAUGGACAGAGUGCCUGCUCAGAAAUGCAGCUGCUCUGGAUGCAGGGAAUGCCUGAGUCUGCUGCUGAUUGUGGAGGGUGGCAGUGAUGCCACCUGUGUGAGGUAUGAGCAGGGGAAUGAUCUGCUCAGUAUGGUGGCAGAGCUCAAAGAGGAGGUGGAGAGAUUAAGGAACAUCAAGGAGUAUAAGCAGGAGAUAGACCAGUGGAGCAACUCCCUGCCGUACAUAUUAGAAAAAUAAAUACGUGGCUAAGGCUUGUGCCA
RNAcentral lists this long non-coding RNA (800 nucleotides) under Phasianus colchicus (ring-necked pheasant). RNAcentral's name for it is "lncRNA (ENSPCLG00000020335.1)". The record is from RNAcentral. Lineage: Eukaryota; Metazoa; Chordata; Aves; Galliformes; Phasianidae.